GACGUAGGAGGCGAGCGUUGUCCGGAUUCAUUGGGCGUAAAGAGCACGCAGGCGGUUUGGCAAGUCGGACGUGAAAAUCCGGGGCUCAACCCCGGACCUGCAUCCGAAACUGCCCGACUAGAGGUAGGUAGGGGAGAUCGGAAUUCCUGGUGUAGCGGUGAAAUGCGCAGAUAUCAGGAGGAACACCGGUGGCGAAGGCGGAUCUCUGGGCCUUACCUGACGCUCAGGUGCGAAAGCUAGGGAAGCGAACAGG
This 253-nucleotide ribosomal RNA is filed under the name uncultured bacterium. RNAcentral's name for it is "partial 16S ribosomal RNA". It matches the Rfam family "Bacterial small subunit ribosomal RNA", at positions 524 to 776 of the family's 1533-position model. The record is from RNAcentral.